RNAcentral lists this ribosomal RNA (449 nucleotides) under uncultured bacterium. Its description in RNAcentral is "partial 16S ribosomal RNA". It matches the Rfam family "Bacterial small subunit ribosomal RNA", at positions 29 to 523 of the family's 1533-position model. The record is from RNAcentral.
AACGAACGCUGGCGGCAUGCCUAAUACAUGCAAGUCGAACGAACACUUCGGUGUUAGUGGCGCACGGGUGCGUAACGCGUGGGAAUCUACCCUUGGGUUCGGAAUAACGUCUGGAAACGGACGCUAAUACCGGAUGAUGACGUAAGUCCAAAGAUUUAUCGCCCAGGGAUGAGCCCGCGUAGGAUUAGCUAGUUGGUGAGGUAAAGGCUCACCAAGGCUACGAUCCUUAGCUGGUCUGGGAGGAUGAUCAGCCACACUGGGACUGAGACACGGCCCAGACUCCUACGGGAGGCAGCAGUAGGGAAUAUUGGACAAUGGGCGAAAGCCUGAUCCAGCAAUGCCGCGUGAGCGAUGAAGGCCUUAGGGUUGUAAAGCUCUUUUACCCGGGAUGAUAAUGACAGUUCCGGGAGAAUAAGCCCCGGCUAACUCCGUGCCAGCAGCCGCAGUAA